CUAGGUAAUAGAUAGGGGCAAAUAACCCACACAAUAGCAACUAUAAGCGUUAACAACUCAUGGUUUUCGAGAAAUUAUUGGGUUUUUCUUUGCAUGAAUUGGGUUUUAGAACUCUGCAAUGGGCUAUUGCAUUGGUUUUUGAAUUAGUUUUAUUUUGUGAUCCCGCAAAUACGCAGCUUAUCUGGAGCUCUGCAUGUAGCAGCAUUCUUGUCCUUUAUAUGAAUAAAGAAAAUGUGAGGUAUCCAUCAAUG
This 251-nucleotide long non-coding RNA is filed under the name Mytilus galloprovincialis (Mediterranean mussel). Lineage: Eukaryota; Metazoa; Mollusca; Bivalvia; Mytilida; Mytilidae. The record is from RNAcentral.